Molecule: transfer RNA, 74 nt
Filed under: Loxodonta africana (African savanna elephant)
Lineage: Eukaryota; Metazoa; Chordata; Mammalia; Proboscidea; Elephantidae
Rfam family: tRNA
About the family: Transfer RNA (tRNA) molecules are approximately 80 nucleotides in length. Their secondary structure includes four short double-helical elements and three loops (D, anti-codon, and T loops).
Source: Rfam by way of RNAcentral
CCUUGGGUGGUACAAAUGGUUAGUGAGCUUGCCUUCUAACCAAAUGGUUGGUGGUUCAAGUCCACCCAGAAGCA